Molecule: ribosomal RNA, 492 nt
Filed under: uncultured bacterium
Lineage: Bacteria
Description: partial 16S ribosomal RNA
Rfam family: Bacterial small subunit ribosomal RNA
Source: RNAcentral
ACGAACGCUGCCGCCUUGCCUACCCCUUGCAGGUUAACCACCAAACCAGGGUUUGCCCUGGGCCAAACAAGCGACCGGUUGAGUAACCCUUGGUUACCCUCCCCCGAUAACCGGACCAACCCGAGUAAACUCGGGCUAAUCCCGGUUGUUCUCCCUGGCCUCCGUUUCAUUGGUUAAAGAAAGCUUCGGCCUCCUUACCGGGCGGGGCCCGCGCCCCAUUAGUUGUUUGGUGAGGUAACGGCUCACCAAGACCGCGAUGGGUAGCUGGUCUGAGAGGACGAUCAGCCACACUGGGACUGAGACACGGCCCAGACUCCUACGGGAGGCAGCAGUGGGGAAUCUUGCGCAAUGCGCGAAAGCGUGACGCAGCAACGCCGCGUGGGGGAAGAAGGCCUUCGGGUUGUAAACCCCUUUCAGGAGGGACGAAGGUUCGGCGGUGAAUAGCCGUCCGGACUGACGGUACCUCCACAAGAAGCCCCGGCUAACUACGUG